AAUAAGAGUAGAAUGUACAUGAGUAAGCAAGCACAGGAAUCUGAAAACCACAGGUAACCUGGCACUCUGUUCAAGGUCUGAACUGUCUCCUUGAAGCCAUUGAAAUGUAGAGCUGGAAGGGACAGCUGGAUC
RNAcentral lists this long non-coding RNA (132 nucleotides) under Ictidomys tridecemlineatus (thirteen-lined ground squirrel). Its description in RNAcentral is "lncRNA (ENSSTOG00000032991.1)". Lineage: Eukaryota; Metazoa; Chordata; Mammalia; Rodentia; Sciuridae. The record is from RNAcentral.